Non-coding RNA from Heterocephalus glaber (naked mole-rat), 1011 nucleotides. The record is from RefSeq and is a predicted model, not a curated record. NCBI's taxonomy places the organism in Eukaryota, Metazoa, Chordata, Mammalia, Rodentia, Bathyergidae.
CAGCAAAGAACAGGUUUGCUUUGAUUCUUCCCACUACAGAGGUGAAGACACUGAGGCCCUGGGAGAUGAAGUGACUUUCCCAAAGUUGUUCUGGCUGGGGCUGAUUGUGGAUUUGAAUCUGGACAGUCUCAGUCAUUGGAAUCCAUCCUUCUGACCACCAUGGCAUGGAUUCCAGUUGGUGACAGUGAGGGCCCUGCUCAGUGAAGAUGCUCAUAGUCCCAGGCUGUCAAUGACUCUGCAAUUUUCAAGACAUGGUUUCCAAAGCUGUCACACUGCUAACAUCAAGCCAUCAAAUCAUGCCGGAAAACUGAGAAGGGUUGUUGACCACCUUCACGUGUGAGACCAAGCCCAGCAGAGGAAUCAAGAAAGGAGGCUGCAGCUGUGCCCUGACCGGCCUGGGGAAAGUGAGGAUAAUCCAACUCGAAACAGGGAACCCAAGCAGCUUCCCACCUGAGAAAACCUAGAAAUCAUCUCUAAGAGAGAAUGUAGCGGAAAUGUUGAACCCAGGACACAUGUAUUGUCUCUCCUCUGCCUGCUGAUAGAAAGUAAAAACAAGCUCUGCUGGAGGAUUGUGUCAAGUUCCAUUUCAGGAUAAGCUCAGGACAUGGUGAGGACCCCUCUCACCGGUACUGGUGGUGCUUUCCCAGCAGCUCAACUGGAAAGAUUCAAGGAUGAUGAUGUUUGAACUUGGACCACUGUGGUCCUUGGGACUCUGUCCUUCCAAAGGUCUUCCAAUCUACUGCCCCGUGCAUUUGAGGAAACAGAAGCUCAGAGGAGAGGGGUCAACCUGCCACAACCCUUCAGCUGCUCAGUGGAAAAUCCAAGUCCAGCUCACUAAUCUCUCACCAAAAGAAAAGCAGGAUGGAAGAGAACACACGCUUCACAUAGAAAUACCUAAAUGUCAAGUAGAUGCCAAGAUCUCUAGUAGGUUUAGGAAUCACCAUGACAAUCUUUUAAAGACUGGCUUUGUUGUUAUUAUUAAUUACAAUUUCUGGAUGAGAAUUAUUAAAA